RNAcentral lists this ribosomal RNA (1391 nucleotides) under metagenome. RNAcentral describes it as "bacterial SSU rRNA". It matches the Rfam family "Bacterial small subunit ribosomal RNA". The record is from RNAcentral.
GGCGGCGUGCCUAAUACAUGCAAGUCGAACGUUCACUUCGGGAAACUGGGGUGGGCGUGGCAGACGGGUGAGUAACACAUGGCUGACCUGCCCUUCAGAGGGGGACAACGGCUGGAAACGGUCGCUAAUACCCCGUGCGGUCUCGAAGGUUAGAGGCUUUGAGACGAAAGCGUGCAAACGUGCUGAAGGAGGGGGCUGUGGCCCAUCAGCUGGUUGGUAGGGUAAUGGCCUACCAAGGCGAGGACGGGUAGGGGGGCUGAGAGGGUGAUCCCCCACACUGGAACUGAGAGACGGUCCAGACUCCUACGGGAGGCAGCAGUAAGGGAUAUUGCGCAAAUGGGCGAAAGCCUGACGCAGCAACGCCGCGUGCGGGAUGACGGCCUUCGGGUUGUAAACCGCUUUUCGAGGGGAAGAGGCAGGACGGUACCCUCGGAAGAAGUCUCGGCUAACUACGUGCCAGCAGCCGCGGUAAAACGUAGGAGGCGAGCGUUAUCCGGAUUUACUGGGUGUAAAGCGCGUGCAGGCGGUCGGGUAAGUCGUAUGUGAAAGCGCCUGGCUCAACCGGGCGAGGACGUAGGAUACUGCCGGACUGGAGGCAGGGAGAGGCGCGUGGAAUUCCGGGUGUAGUGGUGAAAUGCGUAGAGAUCCGGAGGAACACCAGUGGCGAAGGCGGCGCGCUGGACCUGACCUGACGCUCAGACGCGACAGCACGGGGAGCGAACGGGAUUAGAAACCCCGGUAGUCCGUGCCGUAAACGAUGCCGACUAGGUGUGGGCGCAGCGAUGCGUCUGUGCCGCAGCGAACGUGAUAAGUCGGCCACCUGGGGAGUACGGCCGCUAGGUUAAAACUCAAAGGAAUUGACGGGGGCCCGCACAAGCAGCGGAGCGUGUGGUUUAAUUCGAGCCUACACGAAGAACCUUACCUGGGCUUGACAUGACGGUGGUAGGGAGACGAAAGUGGACCGACCUUCGGGAGCCGUCACAGGUGCUGCAUGGCUGUCGUCAGCUCGUGUCGUGAGAUGUCCGGUUAAGUCCGGUAACGAGCGCAACCCUCAGGUUCAGUUACACGUGUCUGGACCGACUGCCCGUUGAACGCGGGAGGAAGGUGGGGACGACGUCAAGUCAGCAUGGCCUUGAUGUCCAGGGCGACACACACGCUACAAUGGCCGGUACAAUGGGUGGCCAACCGGCGACGGGGAGCCAAUCCAAGAAAGCUGGUCUCAGUUCGGAUUGCAGGCUGCAACCCGCCUGCAUGAAGGAGGAGUUGCUAGUAACCGCCGGUCAGCUAUACGGCGGUGAAUACGUUCCCGGGCCUUGUACACACCGCCCGUCACGUCAUGGGAGCUGGUCAUGCCUGAAGUCGGUGGGCGAACCGCAAGGACGCAGCCGCCU